UUAUCUGUUCUGAUUGCAUACUGGCUUCUUUCAGUUUAUUAUCUAUUGACUCUUUGCAUUUCUUCUCUGAUAAUUUCUUCCAGUUCCUAGCACUGAAUUUUCUAGUUUAUUCUCCAAAUUUGAAUGUGGGUUAGAAGUCUAUUAGACUUUGGCAUAGGAGAUAAAUACAGUCUAACCCAGAAAUCUACCUGUGUUUGGAAUUUUACUAUAUGAUCAAAUUUAUUGAUCAAGUAAUUACCUGUCUGAUAGAAUAAUAAAUAGUGCAUCUAUUCAGAUUCUGGUUAUAUGUUACUUUUCUCCCUAACUUUUAAUUUCUAAGUUUUGUUCUGAUUUGUAGAAGAAAGAGACAAUCUGUAUCUAGUAAAGACAAAUUAGAAAUUAUAGGGAGGAAAAAUGCCAAUAAUUCCACCACCAGCUUUCAGCAUUCAUUAGCAUUUUAUUUCACUGCUUUCCUGGUUUUUUUCUAUGUGUCUUUAUGUACAUAUAUUUCAUAAUGGAAAAUGAAGUGUAUGCAGGAUUUUUUUAGUCUUGGUUUUUUAUUUGCAUUUAUUUUUAAAAUAUUUUACUAUUUUAUGUAUUUUGUUUUAAUGAUUUCACAGUAUUUUUUAAUUUAAAUGUACUACAAUCAAUCUAAAUAGUACCCUAUUAGAUACCAUGUGUGUGCAUAUGUGUGUGUGUGCUGUUUGUUUUAUAAAUGUUUGCUAAUUUACUAUUACAAGUUUUCUAUUACAAAUGGGGUGGGAUUUUAUCAACAAGUGUCCAGAAAGUUAUUCUAGAUGUCUUUCCCUGUUUCCCUCUCUCACUUUUACUCAGGCUGUUUUCUCCACCUCAGACUAUGCUGAAGGGUAAAACAGUGAUUCGAUAUGUACAACCUUGAAAUAAAGGACAUAUUUUCAGGGUUCUUUCCCCUCCACACAAUAGCUAUGUAAAAUAGAGAAAGGAGAAGAAGCAAAGUGGUGGUUCAACUGCAAGAGAUAAGGACGACAGGCUAAAGGGACAGAGGGUACACUAAUUGGGAAGAGAAAAGGAAAACUGUUCUUGAUGGAGAACUGGGAAGCUGAGCGGAAGGACUCAUAGACAAGCAGUCCUAGGGGGAAGUUCAACAGGUCUGGGAUCUUCAAGCUUUUGAGAUUUGAGAGCAGGGACUUAGAUCUGCUGAGGGGUGGGGUGGAGGUGAAGGUGCUACGAAAGGUAAGCCUCUCACCUUGACCUGGGCAAAACUGAAUAUUUUUCUGGGAGUGAGGCAUCAGUUGACCCAUUGUCAUCAUUACAGUGUACAUAUGCAUUUUUUAAUUUCUAAAAUUACAUUGGUUCACUCUCCUCAAAUGGUAUUUCCUCAGGGUCAAAGGUAACAAGCAUUUUAGAAGGCUGAACUGUAUUACCAAAGUACUUUCCAGAAAGGUGGUAACAAUUUACUUUCCCACUGUGAAUAUUAUACUUUGAUGCCUAUUUAUAAGUUAUUUGAGACUAUUUUAACCACUUGAACUAUUUUAGCAAAAAUUAAUUUUUAUGCCUGCUUAUAUUCAUGUGAAUUUGAAAUAAAUAUAAUGAAUAAUGAGAGGAAAAUCAUUAUUUUUUCCCCUAUGUUAUAUUGCAGAUAAGUUUCCAUAAAACUGAGAUGAUGACUUCACUUGCAAAAGACAUUUGAUAUAGCAACUGUAGCCAUAUGUUCUAAAUAUAACAGAUUACUGCCAGGUGCCCAAGUUAAGGAACACUGUAUUGCAUAAGUUGAAAGAACAUUUGAAAAACGUGUUUAAAUUUCAGAUAGUUGAUAUUGCAGACAUGUUCAUAUUUCACUGACAGAAAAAUAGGAAAAUAUAUAGCCCAAUGUUUGGGGUAAAUCAGUUUGGUGGGAUACCAAGUCAUAUUAAAAUCUGAUCCUAUACAUAAAAAAGUAUAUUCAAUUUAAUCAGUAUCCCCUGAAGAAGUCCUUGUUGGGGAAGAGGACCAGAGUCUAUGUGCAGAUAGAGAAUAGGAUGAGGAAAACUUAUUUGGUCUAAUAUUUAAGGAAGCAUCAUAUACAUGGCCUCUUAGGAACUCACUUAUGACUGUGAGUAGAUUGUGAAGAGAUCAGUGCUUCUGCUGAUCCUAUUUUCAUUUAAAAUUCUGAUAAUUUGCUAAUCCUGGGAACUAUGUCUAGUCACUUAUGAUGGAGCAUGAUAAUGUGAGAAAAUAGAAUGUGUACAUGUAUGUGUAACUGGGUCACUAUGCUGUACAGUAGAAAAAGUAUUGGAGAAAUAACAAUUUAAAAAUAAAAAUUGUUUAAAUUAAAAGAAAAAUAAAACAACAAAACCUAAGAAACUCAAGUAUGGUUAAUAAGAGAAUUUGGUAACACAAUUGGACAAGAAUAAAUAUUUAAAAAUAAAAAUAAAAUAAAAUUCUGAUAUUUUGCCCACCAUUAACUUUUUGGUAUUAAUUUUGAUUUUUAAAUUUGUUUUAUUAAAAUAUUAUUUAUGUUGAUUACUGAAGGGUAUUGCAUUCCUCAAAGUCUGAACUGGAGGUGAGUGACAUACUUGCCUUCCUCUUGACUUAAUGUUCUUGCCCCAACUACUCUCUUCUCCCCUUCUCUACUCAAGAGUGCAGCAUACUAAUGCUACUACCAAAAAAAUCAUAAGUUUCUACUAUAUUCUCCAACCAGACCUUUCCUCCAUGGCUAUUUUUCAUGCUUCCAAAGGCUUUCAUCUUUCUUACCUCACCACCUCCAAAACAAGUCUUAAAUAUACUCUAUUCCUUGGUGUUCUCCUCUCAGUUGCUUGUAAAGGAGAUAAUAGAUAAUCUAUUAUGGCACAUGAAUGUUGAAGGGUAAUUAUAUUAUUAUUCUUAAAUAUAUGUGUAUGUUUAUCAAGAAUCCACCUAAAGAUAAAUCUCUUCCCAUUAAUUUACUCUAAAAAUAUAUAUUCUUCUGUGCUAGAGAAAUAGCUGUAAGCAAGACAGACAAGAUUCUUGCCUGUGGAAUUUACAUUAUGCCAGAUACAUAAAGAUAUAAUCGGGAAUGGUGACAUCAUACACCUUGGCAAAUAAUGAGGAAGCAGUAUUUGGUAAUGAUAACAAGCAUGUUGAUACCAGAAACAGGACCUAAAAAAAAAAUCUUGAAAAAAUAGAGUUGUUUGACUUAAAUUAAGUUGACAUUGAAUAGAGGAGAUGUAAAGUGUUGAAUUUGAGUUUCAAUAAUUAUAAGUACAGAGGAGAAGCUGUAGUUUAGUCAUAGUUUAUGUGAGAAAACAUUAGGGUUCGCUUGAGAGAAACUCAGUGUGAAUCGACAGGUAGAAGUGGCUCCCCUGGCCACACCACUAAUUCAGUACCUAUCAUGAAGGUAGGUGUUUCAGGUUUGUUGUGUUGGGAGUUCUAAGACCACCCUUAAGUUUGAUGGACUCAUGGGAGUCCUUGAAGGACUCAUAGGAGUUCCUGUUGUGGCUCAUUGGGUUAAUAACCCAACAGAGUAUCCAUGAGGAUGUGAAUUUGAUCCCUGGCCUUGCUUAGUGGGUUAUGGACCCCUAAGUCACAGAUAUGGCUUGGAUCUGGCAUUGCAGCUGUGGUGUAGGCCAGCAGCUGCAGCUCCAAUUUGACCC
RNAcentral lists this long non-coding RNA (3569 nucleotides) under Sus scrofa (pig). Its description in RNAcentral is "lncRNA (ENSSSCG00000053561.1)". The record is from RNAcentral. Lineage: Eukaryota; Metazoa; Chordata; Mammalia; Artiodactyla; Suidae.